AGCAGCCACGGUAAUUCCAGCUCCAAUAGCGUAUAUUAAAGUUGUUGCAGUUAAAAAGCUCGUAGUUGAAUUUCGGGGUCAGUAGGCUGGUCGUGCCACGGGUAUGUACUGGUCUUACUGAUUCCUCCUUCCUGAUGAGCCGUAAUGCCAUUAAUUUGGUGUUGCGGGGAAUCUGGACUGUUACUUUGAAAAAUUAGAGUGUUUAAAGCAGGCUAACGCUUGAAUACAUUAGCAUGGAAUAAUGAAUAGGACGAUCGAUCCUAUUUUGUUGGUUUCUAGGAUUGACGUAAUGAUUAAUAGGGAUAGUUGGGGGCAUUAGUAUUCAAUUGUCAGAGGUGAAAUUCUUGGAUUUAUUGAAGACUAACUACUGCGAAAGCAUUUGCCAAGGAUGUUUUCAUUAAUCAAGAACGAAAGUUAGGGGAUCGAAGACGAUCAGAUACCGUCGUAGUC
RNAcentral lists this ribosomal RNA (450 nucleotides) under uncultured Glomus. RNAcentral's name for it is "SSU rRNA". It matches the Rfam family "Eukaryotic small subunit ribosomal RNA", at positions 569 to 1025 of the family's 1831-position model. Lineage: Eukaryota; Fungi; Glomeromycota; Glomeromycetes; Glomerales; Glomeraceae. The record is from RNAcentral.